GAAGGUGGGAUGACGUCAAGUCAGCAUGGCCUUUAUGUCCUGGGCUACACACACGCUACAAUGGCCAACACAAUAGGUUGCUAAGCCGCGAGGUGGAACCAAUCCUCAAAGUUGGUCUCAGUUCAGAUUGCAGGCUGCAACCCGCCUGCAUGAAGAUGGAGUUGCUAGUAACCGCAGGUCAGCUAUACUGCGGUGAAUACGUUCCCGGGCUU
This 212-nucleotide ribosomal RNA is filed under the name uncultured Leptolinea sp. RNAcentral describes it as "partial 16S ribosomal RNA". It matches the Rfam family "Bacterial small subunit ribosomal RNA", at positions 1169 to 1381 of the family's 1533-position model. The record is from RNAcentral. Lineage: Bacteria; Bacillati; Chloroflexota; Anaerolineae; Anaerolineales; Anaerolineaceae.